Melanotaenia boesemani (Boeseman's rainbowfish) is the source of this 305-nucleotide long non-coding RNA. RefSeq lists it as uncharacterized. The record is from RefSeq and is a predicted model, not a curated record. Lineage: Eukaryota; Metazoa; Chordata; Actinopteri; Atheriniformes; Melanotaeniidae. The transcript has 3 exons.
GAUUCCACUUGCCAUUAUUAGCUGUAUUUCUGUCACUGUUACUACUGCCCAUUAAGUUAUUCAGUCUUCAUUUGCUGCUGUUAACUAUGAGUAGUUAUAAUUUCUUACAUUUUUGGGAACACCUGAACGUCUCAAAGACGAACCCCCUGCAGAUUUAGCUGUUACGCCCCGUAGCUUCGCCACAGUCUGUCACCAGCAAGACUCGUGUGUGUGUGGCAGAGCUGAGACUGUGGGAGCUGACGAACCUUUCUUUAUGUUCAAAAAUCCAGAACAUGCCAAUAAAGAGGCGUCAGAGACUCGACAUU